CCAUGUGGACUGGGAGCCCAAACGAGUGGUGGUGUCAUAGGAGGGGCCCCACUGAGAACCACACAAUGAGCGAGACCCCUGUGUGCCCACAAACCGGGAGAUGGAACGAGAGGUGGUCUGUUGAUCACGAUAUCCCUGCUCACCAUCAGAACUUCUCCACACUCUGGGUCUGAGACAGCAACUACUUUCAUAAUGUUGUGAUCACACAGAAAAAAAUAUAUUAACCAUAGAAACCAGUGUUUAUGUUCUGCUACACCUUUGCUCUUCCCAACAUAUGGUAUGUCUAGGUGCUCUAAGCGAGUCUUUUACACUGGCUAAUAUC
Long non-coding RNA from Manacus vitellinus (golden-collared manakin), 322 nucleotides. RefSeq lists it as uncharacterized. Lineage: Eukaryota; Metazoa; Chordata; Aves; Passeriformes; Pipridae. The record is from RefSeq and is a predicted model, not a curated record. The transcript is spliced from 3 exons.